GUUUUUUUUUUAGUUACCUCCAAUGGCCAUGAGAGGAUAAGCCCACCUGCCAACGUCAAGGCAGACCCCCCCCAGGUGGGUCCUAACUCUAACCAUUCACCUUGCUUCCUUGAGCUUCUGGCAAAGAUCUCUAAUGAGACAGAAAGGGGUAUUUUUUAUAUACACCCCUAUAUACUUAUUAACCCUUAAUAGGGAACACAUGGGAUGGGCGG
Molecule: non-coding RNA, 212 nt
Organism: Pelobates cultripes (western spadefoot toad)
Lineage: Eukaryota; Metazoa; Chordata; Amphibia; Anura; Pelobatidae
Source: the annotation of a GenBank genome assembly